UGGGGAAUCAUGGUCAAUGGGCGAAAGCCUGAACCUGCGACGCCGCGUGAGUGAUGAAGGUCGUAAGAUCGUAAAACUCUUUUCAGGGGGCUUAAAGCCUGUCUGUCAACAACAGGCAGGUCUGACUCUCCCUGGAAGAAGCCCCAGCCAACUACGUGCCAGCAGCUGCGGUAAUACGUAGUGGGCGAGCGUAAUUCGGAAUUACUGGGUGUAAGGGGUAUGUAGGCGGCGCUUCAAGUCGCGUGUCAAAGGCCGGGGCUCAAC
This 264-nucleotide ribosomal RNA is filed under the name uncultured prokaryote. RNAcentral's name for it is "partial 16S ribosomal RNA". It matches the Rfam family "Bacterial small subunit ribosomal RNA", at positions 355 to 613 of the family's 1533-position model. The record is from RNAcentral.